RNAcentral lists this ribosomal RNA (254 nucleotides) under uncultured bacterium. RNAcentral's name for it is "partial 16S ribosomal RNA". It matches the Rfam family "Bacterial small subunit ribosomal RNA", at positions 524 to 776 of the family's 1533-position model. The record is from RNAcentral.
UACGUAGGCAGCGAGCGUUGUUCGGAGUUACUGGGCGUAAAGGGUGUGUAGGCGGUUGUUUAAGUUUGGUGUGAAAUCUCCCGGCUCAACUGGGAGGGUGCGCCGAAUACUGAAUGACUUGGAGUGCGGGAGAGGUGAGUGGAAUUCCUGGUGUAGCGGUGAAAUGCGUAGAUAUCGGAAGGAACAUCAGUGGCGAAAGCGGCUUCCUGGACCAGCACCGACGUUCAGGCACGAAAGCGUGGGGAGCAAACAGG